Long non-coding RNA from Epinephelus moara (kelp grouper), 575 nucleotides. RefSeq lists it as uncharacterized. The record is from RefSeq and is a predicted model, not a curated record. NCBI's taxonomy places the organism in Eukaryota, Metazoa, Chordata, Actinopteri, Perciformes, Serranidae. The transcript is spliced from 3 exons.
UCCCACAUGUUCUCCAUAGGAGUCAGUUUGACUCUGCCAACUCUGCCAACUCUCAGAGUAACAACCUGUAUGUGUCCAUGAAGAAUCUACCAUACAUAUGUAUAUACUCUGUGCCUACCUGGAACAUGAAUAAACAUCAUUAAACGAAUACCUGCCUACCGUGUCCUUAUCGUCAUCCCCCAGUUGAUAGUCAAACUCCUAAAUCCUGAACCACCCAUCUACCUCAUCCUUCACAUGUUCCUUCACAGUAACGUAAGAGUCGUGAGAGGGGCGAGCAGAGGAUUGGAGUGGGGCUGAUGGUGGUGGUAGAAGUGAGUAAUGGCGAAGAGCAAAGGGAGGGCAUUCUCAUCAUUUCUGCCGCUGCACCUGCAAUCAGCACCUAUGAGACUGAUCGAGCUAAACAUCAAUUAAUGCCACGAUAUCCUCACGGAGACCCAGCUCGCUUUCACCUGGACUCUCAGCAGCAGCCUUCUGAUUACAGUAAUGACUGUGUUCGACCAAGAGACACUGAUGGGAGAUGGUGUUUUAGUGCAGUACUUUGCUCUCCGUGUGUUCAACUUGUGUAGUACGAAGGU